UACGUAGGAUGCAAGCGUUGUCCGGAUUUACUGGGUGUAAAGGGUGCGCAGGCGGGCUGAUAAGUCAGAGGUGAAAUCCUGGAGCUUAACUCCAGAACUGCCUUUGAUACUGUCAGUCUUGAGUACGAGAGAGGCAGAUGGAAUAUGUGGUGUAGCAGUGAAAUGCGUAGAUAUCACAUAGAACACCAGUGGCGAAGGCGGUCUGCUGGCUCGUAACUGACGCUCAGGCACGAAAGUGUGGGUAGCAAACAGG
RNAcentral lists this ribosomal RNA (253 nucleotides) under uncultured bacterium. Its description in RNAcentral is "partial 16S ribosomal RNA". It matches the Rfam family "Bacterial small subunit ribosomal RNA", at positions 524 to 776 of the family's 1533-position model. The record is from RNAcentral.